GACUGGUUUGGGAGGUGGGGCAGUUUAAACUAGUAAUUUUUCCUUCGCAGGUCUCAUAGAGCCCAGGGCUUCUUCCCAUGUAUCCUAGGGAUAAAGAUGACAUCCUCCGUUCACACGUUGUGCUGCAUCGGGGAAGGCUCUAGCACGCACACACACAGUGUCACUGUCUGCCACCUUCUGCAUGGCAACAGGCAGUGAGAACAGCACCACUGCAGGGAUUGGUCAUCGGGGAGAUGGUUCUCAAGGCAGCCUGGAGGGGUGAGAGUGAAAGCUGACUAUUUCUGCCUUGGCUGGGGAAAUGGUUCUGGCCAAUGUAUUUACAGCAGCCACCCUGGCAUCCAGGAAUUACGGUUAGUCAACGCCAGUACGCCAAAGAUGUGCUUAGCCACAGUGACCGUAAAUAUUUCUGUGGGAACUUAGAAGACCUCACUUCUAUCCAGGCUGGAAUACCUAGAGAUUCCAAGCUGGCAGAAGAUUGCAAAAUGGAGUUUCCUCAGUUCGUCAGACCCUGCCCGACUAGGAAGCGUGAUGUUGGAGAGACAGGAUUCUGUAGAUCAUGAACUGAGCUGACCCUGUGUCACGCCCACCUCGGCUGGCAAGGAAGACGCAACACAGUUGGAUUCUUCUCAACAGCUUUUACUGUAGGACACCUUCAUUGUUGACACAGGGACCACGAGCAGCAAAUUUGCUUGCCUUAUAUACACAACAGUAUGCUAAUAAUCUCUCAGGGAUUGGUGGGGCCCGGGUCACCCCACUAUCACCCCACUACUUGUCCUCCAGGGAUUGGCGGAGAAUGAAUCACCUCAGUAGCAUGGUAUCGCCCACUCAUUAGCAUAUUAACCGCCAACUGACACCAGGUGCAAAAACUGCACAUGUACAGUACCGUUGCUCACCACUGGAGGGCGCCCUACAUCUCCCCCUUUUUUGUUUAAUAAAAUGACUGGUCUAGAUCUGGGUGUCACGUCAAUCUUGUCAUUGCUCCUGUCUUAGGUCGUUCUCAUCCAAACUCGGCCUUACCCAUCUCUGGGUUACCCUAUCGCCACCGGGCCCCAUGUCUUGGGUUGGUCCGAGCUCGAGGAAAGUUGCCCGUCCCUGGAUACAAUGACUCCACAUGACUGUGACAAAAAUGAUCUAGGGUGAACUCUUGAUCUUUCAAAGAGGCCAGCCAUAUAUUGGGAGAAGCACCAUGUUCUAUAGCGGUCAUAGCCUGGUAAACAACCGCUUUGUGUCUGGCAUGUUCCCUUUUUAAACAGCCAAAAAGCCAGAGACAUACUC
This 1275-nucleotide long non-coding RNA is filed under the name Rattus norvegicus (Norway rat). RNAcentral describes it as "long non-coding RNA NONRATT032790". Lineage: Eukaryota; Metazoa; Chordata; Mammalia; Rodentia; Muridae. The record is from RNAcentral.